Long non-coding RNA from Cottoperca gobio, 1796 nucleotides. Lineage: Eukaryota; Metazoa; Chordata; Actinopteri; Perciformes; Bovichtidae. The record is from Ensembl.
UAAAAUAAAAAGCAAAGAGAGGAGGAAGACCAACUCCAGGAUUAAAGAUGUAAAGAAGAAGAUGUAAAUAAUGAAGAGGAAGGAGAGGAAGAGAAGGUGAAGGAGAAGAGGGAGGACGUGUUUCUGGAGUCCUGCAGGAAGGACGUGUUUCUGGAGUCCUGCAGGGAGGACGUGUUUCUGGAGUCCGUCCUGCAGGGAGGACGUGUUUCUGGAGUCCUGCAGGGAGGACGUGUUUCUGGAGUCCUGCAGGGAGGACGUGUUUCUGGAGUCCUGCAGGGAGGACGUUGUUUCUGGAGUCCUGCAGGUGAGGACGUGUUUCUAGAGUCCUGCAGGGAGGACGUGUUUCUAGAGUCCUGCAGGGAGGACGUGUUUCUGGAGUCCGACCCGGAAGUUAGCAUCACUGCUUCCCUCACAAAACGCUAACAGGAUUUUGGAUUAAAGCAGAAAAUAACAAACGUUUCUGGUAUUUACACGUGUUGUUCAGCAGGAUGAUCUCCACAGAUUAUUUAACACCUUUAUGAUUUUUGAAUCUUAAAUUCAAUCUCCAGAAGUAAGAAGCUAAUGUUCGGCUACAAAGGAGCUACAGCAGGUCACAUGAUGUCACGUCACCACCGCUAAGCUAACGGCGGCUAAUGUUAGCUUGAUGACGUUUAGUCUCAUUUAGCCGCUCGUUAGUGACCGACACGUAGAAGCUGCAGAGACUCACGAGUCGGGGAGUUACUGACAUGUUUUAUAACGUAGAACAAAACGUUGAAAUGUCUUCAGCUGGUGUUAAACACACAUUAUUUCAGGCUUCUAACCAAAGAUACAUCGACUUCCAGACGAGGGAACAGGAAGUGCUAAAAUACUGACUCAUUCAGGGUUUUAGGCUUCUGCAGCUCUCUGUACGCUCUUAGUUGUAGGUUGUUAAGAAGCAGCGUGGCUGUAAAUGUUAUGUUUUGACGAUUGUUGCGUGAUCUCACAUAUCCAGCUGCCUCGCAGAGUCACCUGAUUUGUGACGACGUGGAGGAGGUGACGUUGAAUCAGGACGAGGAGGAACUCUGGUCACAUGAUUACAGACAUUUGAACAGUAAUGUGUCGACUUUUCCAAAUGAAUGAUGAGCAAAACCUGCAGGAAAAGUCGAGUCUCUCUUUCUUUUGGAGAACUCUGAAGAACACAUUUGUGUGAUUGUUAUAUUACUUUAUAGUGAAUGAAGUCAGGCUGCUGUUUAUUUCUUGAAACCUGAAACUUGAAAUUAUUGUUCUGCUUCUUUUUUCACUGUUUUGAGUUUUUUACUCUCAUGUGAUGCAAAUAAUGAAAUGUGUUGAAGUACGGCUAUUUUAAACCAUUUAUUAAUGAAUUUGCAGAACAAAGACUGAAUCAUAUUUACUGUCACUGUGAUAUAAAAUAACAUAUGCUGUGAUAUAAUCCCCCCCAUGGUCUCCUGGGAGGAAGUCCUGUGCUCCUACAACCACUUUAUCACAUGUUAAAGUUCUUAUUGUGCUGCGUAACGUUAAAGUUAAAGUACGUCACGGGUUUUACAGAAACGUACACUGCCAACAUGUUGUGCUGGCGACUGGCUGUGUGUGGUUGAUGAGACUCCUCGUUUGGACCCCGACAGGAAGGCCAGAGGUCCAUCCGGCAGCACGAGUCCGUCCUUUGGUCACGAUGAAGAUGAAACACCCUCCUCCUCCUCUUCCGCCCCGUGUGAAGCAUCCCCUCUUUGUCUCGCUCUCUUGUCGUCUCUCUCAUCUCUGAUGCAAACCACUCGAAGCUCUGGCCCAGAUUAAAGAGAGCAGCUCCAGUGAAAGGAGGA